RNAcentral lists this ribosomal RNA (531 nucleotides) under uncultured bacterium. RNAcentral describes it as "bacterial SSU rRNA". It matches the Rfam family "Bacterial small subunit ribosomal RNA", at positions 338 to 885 of the family's 1533-position model. The record is from RNAcentral.
CCUACGGGAGGCAGCAGUAAGGGAUAUUGCGCAAUGGGCGAAAGCCUGACGCAGCAACGCCGCGUGCGGGAUGACGGCCUUCGGGUUGUAAACCGCUUUUCUGUGCGAAGAGGAAGGACGGUAGCGCAGGAAUAAGUCUCGGCUAACUACGUGCCAGCAGCCGCGGUAAAACGUAGGAGGCGAGCGUUAUCCGGAUUUACUGGGUGUAAAGCGCGUGCAGGCGGUGUCGUAAGUGGUGCGUGAAAGCGCUCUGGCUCAACCGGGCGAGGACGUGCCAAACUGCGGGACUGGAGGUAGGUAGAGGCGUGUGGAAUUCCGGGUGUAGUGGUGAAAUGCGUAGAGAUCCGGAGGAACACCAGUGGCGAAGGCGACACGCUGGACCUGACCUGACGCUAAGACGCGAAAGCAUGGGGAGCGAACGGGAUUAGAAACCCCGGUAGUCCAUGCUGUAAACGAUGCAGACUAGGUGUUGCGGUGUCAAAGUUGCAGUGCCGAAGCUAACGUGAUAAGUCUGCCACCUGGGGAGUACGG